AGAUCACCGCCGAGCAGAACGACUUUCAGGAGGCCUGUGAGGAUGGAUACGCAACUAUCAGCGCUGCACUGGAGCCGAUCUUUCAGGAGGCUGCAAAGGCUGGCAAAUCUU
This 111-nucleotide non-coding RNA is filed under the name Stygamoeba regulata. The record is from RNAcentral. Lineage: Eukaryota; Discosea; Stygamoebida.